Molecule: transfer RNA, 70 nt
Filed under: Verrucomicrobiales bacterium
Lineage: Bacteria; Pseudomonadati; Verrucomicrobiota; Verrucomicrobiia; Verrucomicrobiales
Description: tRNA-Trp
Rfam family: tRNA
About the family: Transfer RNA (tRNA) molecules are approximately 80 nucleotides in length.
Source: RNAcentral
GGGCGGUGGCUCAAUUGGUAGAGUAGCGGUCUCCAAAACCGUUGGUUGCAGGUUCGAGUCCUGCUGCCCG